GUAGACGGUGGGGUAACGGCCCACCGUGCCGAUAAUCGGUACGGGUUGUGAGAGCAAGAACCCGGAGACGGACUCUGAGACAAGAGUCCGGGCCNUACGGGGCGCAGCAGACGCGAAACCUUUACACUGCACGACAGUGCGAUAAGGGGAUCCCGAGUGCGAGGGCAUACAGUCCUCGCUUUUCGUGACCGUAAGGUGGUCUCAGAAUAAGG
Molecule: ribosomal RNA, 212 nt
Filed under: Halococcus sp.
Lineage: Archaea; Methanobacteriati; Methanobacteriota; Halobacteria; Halobacteriales; Halococcaceae
Description: partial rRNA
Rfam family: Archaeal small subunit ribosomal RNA
Source: RNAcentral